This 1271-nucleotide long non-coding RNA is filed under the name Coturnix japonica (Japanese quail). RNAcentral describes it as "lncRNA (ENSCJPG00005014663.1)". The record is from RNAcentral. Lineage: Eukaryota; Metazoa; Chordata; Aves; Galliformes; Phasianidae.
AACGUACCUCAGCUGAGGCUAGGCUUCGAUGAAGUAGGUUAAUGGAGCUGCACUCAAACCUAUAAAACUGUGCGAGGAGGAAAUUUACAGCUAUUUUGCUGUUAUGAUGGAUGAAAGCAGAAGUAGGGAGGUUAAGUUCAGCUCCAGACAACAUGUGGAAAUGCUAGACAACUUCAGACUGCCUUCAAAGCAGAGCCCAUGGUCUGGAAAUAGAAUUUGCAUGGAUAUAAUUCAUCUGACCAUAUUCACCAUCAAUGCAUUUAUUUCAUGAAGUGUGUAACAAGGGAAAGGACUUGGAUUAUAUGUUUGACAGAAGACUAGACUGGCAAGUAGAAAUUUUUAUGUGAUUAAUUUUUACCACAUGUGUGGGUGUUGCUGAUAAAUGAUCUGUUCCUUCUUCUGUGGGGCUUUUCAAGCUUUUUAUUUUACUGUUGGAUAUUUCAAUGAUUUUUAACUUCCGUAAAGGCAAUGGAAGGCAAUUUCCUCAUGCAAGAUUCUGCUUCUUAGUUAAAAUGAAACCAUGAAUCACUAUCAGUAGAAAACAACAUACUGCAAAAAACAGAAGAACAGAAAACCUACCCCAAAGCAUUUGUCUUCUCUUCUAAGCCAUUUAUACAACUCCCUUUGUUUUAAUUUUAUAGCAUCAAUUGUAAACCUUAUCUAGUGGAACUUCUAUGUCUUCAGUGGCUUCAGAAACACAGGAGAUCUUUAUUUGUCACAACAACCAAUUUGUGGUAGCUGUAUACAAGCAGGCUUUAAAAGUGGCAUGAGAGUGAUAAGAACCAAUAUUCUAGAGGUAAUUACAUAUCUGUAUUGGCAUGGUGAACUGAUAAGUGCAUAUCUUACUCAGAAGUUCUCUGGACUCAUUUCUUUCUAUGAGUUUUCUAUUUCUAUGGGGUGUGAAUUCUAGCUUUUUGAAGCAAAUUAAAUUGAGAAAUAAUCCCUCAAAUAACAGAAGGAAAAACUACAAACUAGACAGAGCAUUUGGAUAUUGUAUGCAUCGGAUUGAUCUAAAGUUUUAAUGAAACAAUUAUAGGGUAUGCCUAUUAUAUAACCCCACUUCAGAAGGUUCAAAUCAGUUAUUAAUUUUAUGUUAGUAUUAUUACUUUGAAGUAGCAUGAAAAUCCCUGUAAGCAAAAGUUGCUUGCUGUAAACUUAUAAUUUAUCUUAAUUCACAACAGACUGAUUAAUUUCAGGUUAUUUUGGAUCAGGCCCUAAAGAGGGUAUUAAAAACUGAACGCAGCUACUGAUACUUUGAGGGAAGUAGCACA